Non-coding RNA from Coffea arabica (coffee), 205 nucleotides. Lineage: Eukaryota; Viridiplantae; Streptophyta; Magnoliopsida; Gentianales; Rubiaceae. The record is from RefSeq and is a predicted model, not a curated record.
GGAUAAAAAUCUUUCACCACAAUGGAUCUUUGUACUUCAAAAAGAUGUUUGACAAAUUGUAUCAGGCUGACUGGAAACCAGAAUCACCAGAUAGGUUGGGUGAAAUUGCAGAACUGGGCAAGUCCGUGGAAUCCUUGAAAAUUGAUGGAACAAAACCACAAGGACAAGGGUCAAAAUCCUCCCAGGUUUCCUCAAAACCAGCCAG